Molecule: ribosomal RNA, 1074 nt
Filed under: Triticum aestivum (bread wheat)
Lineage: Eukaryota; Viridiplantae; Streptophyta; Magnoliopsida; Poales; Poaceae
Description: partial small subunit ribosomal RNA
Source: RNAcentral
AGGGAGGUCCGUUUGGGUGUCUGUCACAUCGAAGACGACAAACAGCGCAGCGUCACCUUCUCCAAACGACGUGCUGGUUUGUUUAAAGGUGCCAGUAACCUCUCCGCCCUCACUGGCGCGAAGGUUGCUGUUGUCCUGGAGAGUGAAUCAGGAAAGAUGCAUGCCUUUGGGACGCCAUCGGUGAAACCUAUUAUUGAUGCUUUCCUGUCAAGAGAUCCACUUAUGGAGCCACUCGCCGACAAUGCGGGAAAAGCUAGGGUUGCAUCGCUGCAAAGCAAGGUGGCUAGGUUGGACAUGGAGAACGCAAUGCUAGAGAAGAGAGCAAACCUCUCCCUCCAACAUAUCAAGAAGAUACAAGCUGAAAACCCAGGGAUGGCGGCAAAUAAUAUUUUCUCCAAGGAAAAAGAUCUUUGUCUAGAAGAUCUCAACAGGCUCUUCAAUGACCUAUUGCGAGUCAACGAGCAUAUUAGACACCGCAUGCCUCCGCUACAUCAUGGCCAUGCACCAAGGAUUGGUGGUCCAAAUGUGCAACAAAACCAGUUGUUGCCAAGAGGUCCAUCACAUGAUCACUCAAAGACUCAUCGGGCAUCACUACAAUCAACGUCAUCUCACCAUAUUCCACCUCAAGUGUUGCCUCCAGUUCCACUGCCACCAACACCACAACACACUAUGGAACCAUCUUUACAUAUGCAAGUACCACAAAUGUUUCAGUCCACACCACCACCUUCGAAUCCCCACUUGGCAUCCCUCCUACAACCGGAUCUUGACCAGGUACAUGGUUUACCUCCACGACCUCAGCCACAACUUGAAGAAUAUGCAAAUCCUUACAAGACCAUAGAGCCAUCACAGAACAAGACAAUCCCUAACUCCGGUGGAAAUGAUAUCGGCGUCCGCGAAUCACUUGGCCAUGAUAACUCGCCUUAUGCUCCUUUGGACCAGGCGCACCACCAUGAAAUCCUAGGGAUGUAUUCUUACAUGGGGUAUAAUGAUAAUGAUGUAGGCCAAUAUAACUUGAGAUGUGACGAGUGGGUCAAUGCACCACCAGAGUCUUCUGGUGGGAAUGAUGGUGAUACU